RNAcentral lists this ribosomal RNA (319 nucleotides) under uncultured eukaryote. Its description in RNAcentral is "partial 18S ribosomal RNA". It matches the Rfam family "Eukaryotic small subunit ribosomal RNA", at positions 1470 to 1796 of the family's 1831-position model. The record is from RNAcentral.
CCCUUAGAUGAUUUGGGCUGCACGCGCGCUACACUGACCCUAACAAUGAGCAACUGUCUGACCUGAGAUGGCUGGGUAGCCUUUUCAACCCAUGUCAUGAUUGGGCUAGAUUUUUGUAAGUCUUGAUCUCUAACGAGGAAUCCCUAGUAUGCGUGAAUCAUCAAUCCAUGCAGAUUAUGUCCCUGCCCUUUGUACACACCGCCCGUCGCUCCUACUGAUUGGGUGAUCCGGUGAGCUGUUCGGCCAUAGCAAUGUUUCUUGAGCAGGGCAAUGAAUGUUUCGCAAACCUUGCCACUUAGAGGAAGGAGAAGUCGUAACA